AUGUGCCACCACACUCAGCUAUUUUUUUUAUUUUAUUUUAGUAGAGAUGAGGUCUUGCUAUGUUGCCCACACUGGUCUCAAACUCCUGAGCUCAAACAAUCCUCUUGCUUCAGUCUCCCAAAGUGUCAAAUUCCUUCACUUGGGGAUUUUACCAAACAUUUAAGAAAGAAACAAUACCAAUUCUACACAAACUCUCCCAGAAAAGUAAAGAGGAGGGAAUACUUUCCAUUAUUCCACGAGGACAGAAUUAGUACGAUAACAAAAUCCAGAAAAAGACAUUGCAAGAAAACUACAGACCCAUAUUCUUUAUAAAUAAGACUCAAGAAUUCUGAACAAAAUUUUAGCAAAUUGAAUCCAAUAACAUAUAAGAAGGACAAUGCAUUAUGACCAAAUAGGGUUUAUUCUGGAAAUGCAAACAAGUCAUUCAGGCAGUUACUACCAAUCAGAGUUAGAGCUGGAGGAAGGAAAAAAAAAUUUUUUUUUCAUCUCUGAUCCAGGUCAAACAUCUUGUUUUAUUAAGCUGAGGCCAAAGUGCAGAACAAAUUGUACUAAACUAAAACUAGUAUUAAAGUCUCCUGGUUGCUAAUCCAAUGUGCUUUCUACAACACGAGUUUAAGAAAAAGUAGAAAACAACAAAAGCUGGAGUCUAAUAAAGAGAGGAUUGUACAAAACUAUGAAGAAAAAAAAAAUCAAGAAUUUGAACGGGAUAUCAGAUGUGAACUUUUGAAGAAUGUCAGUGAUGUAUCAUGGGGCUAGUUCUAAAUACAUCUAUUUUUCAUGAGACUAAUAAUAGUUUUUGUGCAAAGGAAAGAAUUAUCCACGAUAAAAUAGAUGAAAUACUUAUUUUAAAAAUAUUUUUCAUAAUAAAAGUGUUAAAAUGACUCAAACUGUUUUUGAUCUAACACGAACAUGAUUCUUAUGACCAGAAAAUUGCCCUAUUUACAAAGAAGGCCAAAAAAGCAAGAUGAUGUAAGAUUAUACAAAAUGUAAGCCAAUAAAGUCAUAUGUAGAUAUACAGAAAUAUUAUUAAUCUUGAUGAGAAAAUACAUCAUUGGUUUGAAGCACAAAUAAAUA
RNAcentral lists this long non-coding RNA (1074 nucleotides) under Papio anubis (olive baboon). Its description in RNAcentral is "lncRNA (ENSPANG00000042770.1)". Lineage: Eukaryota; Metazoa; Chordata; Mammalia; Primates; Cercopithecidae. The record is from RNAcentral.